Molecule: long non-coding RNA, 1552 nt
Organism: Cyanistes caeruleus (blue tit)
Lineage: Eukaryota; Metazoa; Chordata; Aves; Passeriformes; Paridae
Source: Ensembl
ACGACAUUGAAACACAAAGAAUGAAAAUAAGAUUUGCCUUACUUAUUAAAGGAAGGUUUAUGUGCUGUCAUGGCACUGUACUAAUUACUGUAACAAGCAAUUAAGCCUGCAUCCUUAUUUUGUCUGUACAAGAUUUCUGUUGCAAGCCUCAGCCCUCACAGUAUAGCUGAAGAAGUAGACAGUUGUGGGAGAAGGACACAAACACAUCCAAAGUGACUGAAUGAGAUUAUAUAAUGAUGUUAUUUCUCUUAUUCUGAGACACAGCAUGGCAGUUCUGCACUAUGGAAUAAAUACACUGUUAUCAGAAAGGCCCAGUUGGUUCCCCAAACAGCAUCCCACUCACUGAAGACAUUUAUAUGAAUUUUUUAAUAUCUAAGUUUUCUUGGAAAAUGACAUCAUGCCACUCACUCACUGUGCUUUGUUCAGAACUUGUGCUAUGCAAAAUCAUGAAAAACUGUUAAGCAGUCAGCCCUACCCCGUGGCGUUUUGCUGUCACCACUGUGGGACAAGCAGUCCCUUGUUCUGGGCUGUUGUUGACCACAGUCAUGGUUCAGAUGAGCCCUGACGUGCUCAGCUGGACAGAAGAGCACUGGCAGCUGUGGGACAAACACACAAUCAGCCAGCACCUGCCAUGCAGAGCACUCACAAGCCUCAUUCAGAACAUUAAGCUGUCCCCUGAUAGAUAAGGAGGUUACAAAAGACAGAGUAACUACACUGGAGAGAACACUACAAAUUAGACCAGCAACUGCUGCAUUGCCUAGAUUUUAUUAGUGAAGCACAGUAUACCCCAGAAAUUAAAUGUAAUGUUACUAAGGGAAAAUCUCCUGCUCCUCCCAGGUACAUGCAGGACUAACAGCAGAGAUGCUGUGGCUACUGCUGCAGGUGUUUGGCAGAGAGAAGACAAGACAGGGUUUGAGAAGAGCUACUCACAGAUCGCACCAAAAAGCUAAGGUGGUUACUGUUACACAGACCACUAACCCUUUGGUUCCUUCCAGCUCCAGCAGGGAUCCUAAGUUCAUUGUCCACUUGAAGCAUGCAGUGUCUCAGCUGAGAGGCAGAAGAAAAAUUGACAGAACUCCAUAUUCCAAAUUCAGUUUACAGUCUCACACAAACAUACCAACCGCCCAAUUCCAAGCACUGUCCAUCAAUUGUACCUAAACAUCAUAUCUUUUCAUAAUGAUUCUACAAAUAUAAAAUGCUGAUUUUUGAACACUGAUUACUCCAGUAGGCUUAACAUAUUACUCAUCUGACAUUAUAUCUGCUUCAGAAAGCAUAUAUCCAGCAUUUUUUGCAAUAUUUUGCAGUGCUGUUUUCACCUGUGAGUCAUUGCUGACUUGCAAGCAUGAACAUGAAUGAAUGAAUGUUAUGCAACUUUUACUGAAUAAGCUACUGGAUCAAUUCACUCAUCUGAGUGAAUGACGUGCUGAUAUUUUCUGUGCUUUUGAAUGAAAAGAAGCUUAGCAAAAGUGACAACAUGCAAUAUUCACACAUUACAAAAAUCACAGAGAAGUCAAGAAACAGAAAUAAUAAAUGUGUAAAUCAUAAAAGGCCA